This 85-nucleotide transfer RNA is filed under the name Candidatus Magasanikiibacteriota bacterium. Its description in RNAcentral is "Candidatus Magasanikbacteria bacterium tRNA-Ser". It matches the Rfam family "tRNA". From Rfam's summary of the family: Transfer RNA (tRNA) molecules are approximately 80 nucleotides in length. Their secondary structure includes four short double-helical elements and three loops (D, anti-codon, and T loops). Further hydrogen bonds mediate the characteristic L-shaped molecular structure. tRNAs have two regions of fundamental functional importance: the anti-codon, which is responsible for specific mRNA codon recognition, and the 3' end, to which the tRNAs corresponding amino acid is attached (by aminoacyl-tRNA synthetases). tRNAs cope with the degeneracy of the genetic code in two manners: having more than one tRNA (with a specific anti-codon) for a particular amino acid; and 'wobble' base-pairing, i.e. permitting non-standard base-pairing at the 3rd anti-codon position. The record is from RNAcentral. Lineage: Bacteria; Candidatus Magasanikiibacteriota.
GGAGAGGUCGCAUAGUGGUCUAGUGCGGCGGUCUUGAAAACCGUUGGCCCGCAAGGGUCCGCGAGUUCGAAUCUCGCCNNGUUUU